RNAcentral lists this long non-coding RNA (3380 nucleotides) under Homo sapiens (human). RNAcentral describes it as "HSALNT0333765". Lineage: Eukaryota; Metazoa; Chordata; Mammalia; Primates; Hominidae. The record is from RNAcentral.
GACAACCCCAGGGCACAGACCACAGUCUCUGUGAGCUCUGACAUAGGGGCUGGAAUCUCAGGCUCUGUGGAAGUGAAGUUGUUGAGUGUGCUUGUCUGAGGAUGCCAGAGCAGAAUGGCAGCCAUGCAGUACGACUCCAGCCAAAUGAGCCAAACUGGACUUUUUUGUCAAGACAUGUGUAAGCCUUUUACCAUCGUAUCUUUCCUUCCUUCCCCACUUUCUGAGCAUCCACAAGUGUCAGACAUAGCCGGAGAUGUGUAAAACACCAAUCAGGCAUGGUCUACUAUUAAGGAACAAACUGAAUAGUGGAAGAGUCAGGUAGGUAAGGGAACAGAUACAAUGUACUGUAGUAAGUUCUCUGAGGAGGAUAUCGACAGCCUUACAGUCCAACAUCCUUCAAAAGUAUCUGCCAAGCAAGACAAACUACAUUAUCCUUUCAUGUUCCCUGGUCUUUGCAGUGGUCUGUUGUUUUUCUCCCUGAAAUGGAAUUAUCUUUUAGGACUUCCUGGAGAAAUUCUAAAAUCCAUCCUUGAGGUUUCUGCUUAAGUUAACAACUUUGUAGCUGAGUCCUCUCAUCAACAUGUUUUUGACCACAUUAUGACCUCCAACCCCUCCGUCUCAACAUCUGGCUGUCCAAGUUGUCUGUUCCUCUUCCAGCUCACCUUCUUCCCUAUCCAGCAUGACUGCCCUGGUUGGUCUUAACAGGUCACCAACAAAGCCUCCUUAUCCUUGCCAUAAAUCUUGACUCCUUGUUCAAACAUGAAUAUAUGUGGAAUACAUGCAGUCUUUCUUUUCUUCUGGUACUUGUCUUGGGUGCCAAAUUUUGCUAGAGGACGUCACCCUGCUGGCCCACCUGGAACCAAGUCACUUGUAUUGUUUCAGCCUCUGCUGGGUCCACUGCCCUGCUCAGCAAUGGCCUUCUGCUUUCCUGCACCCCAUACUGUUUCCAUCACUAAUCUGAGCACCCUCUGCAGGGAAGACAGCAUGACUUUUCAUCUUUGAAUCCUUAAAACUUAGCUCACUGUGUGCUCAAACAUGUGUAUUGAAUGACAGUUGCUAUAUUCGAGGACCACAUAGAUUUUGGGGAAGACGGGCAGGCACACAGGUAGCAGAACCAUACGAAGGCCAGGAUCAGUCAUGACCAAGGCUGCAUUCUGACAUGUGAGCCCCGAGCAUUCUUGCUUGUAUGGGCCUCUUCCUCCACAAAAAUAUGGAAAAUUAUAUUUUAUGACUGAAUUGGUAUAAAGACAAUAUAAUCUAGGCUGAAUUAAAAGUUAAAACAUUUUCUUAGGCUCUAAUAUUCCAUUAUUUUUCUAAUUUUAAAAGGAGUUAAAACCUUCUCAUGUGGCUUUACAGUAUGGAGGGUCCCCUGCACUGCCCACAUUGUGCCUAAUGAAUGAGCCAAGCCUGACCAGGGCACUCUGGUGUGAGGUUGAAGAAAGGAAAUUUGGAACAAAGACGCCAAGCGCUCUGGAGAAGCAGGUGAAACUUCCACUGCCGAACAAAAUCAUAAUGGGAGCAGCCACGGUUAAUAAAGUUGUGAAAGUUUAAAGUACCUUCCAGUUCACUUCCCCUUUUAACUAUCUGACUUUUCAACUUUUGUUUUACAAACCCACUGUCCAUCUCUAUAAAGGAGCAGGGAGUCAGAGAUGGAUCCUGAAAGGGAAGAGGGAGAAAGGGAUGCAUGAAGAGAGGUGGAAAGAGAUGGACGACAAAGGCAGAGGAGAGUAAGAGACCAAAUAAUUAAUCUGUGCUUCCUUUCUUCCUUCCUUCCUCUUUCUUUCUGUCUUUCUUUUUCCCUUCCUUCCUCCCUUCCCUUUUCUUUUCUUUUCCUUCCUUCCUUCCUUCUCCUUCCUUCCUUCCUUCCUCGCUUUCUUUCCUCUUUCUUUUUGAGACAGCGCCUCUCUCUGUUGCCCUGGCUGGAGUGUAGUGGUGCCACCAUGGCUCACUGCAGCUUCCGCCUCAUGGACUCAAGUGGUCCUCCCACGGCAGCCUUCUGAGUAGCUGGCACCACAGGCACACACCACCAUGCCUGGCUAAUUUUUAUUUUUCUUUUUUUGUAGAGAUGAGGUCUUGCUAUGUUGCCCAGGCUGGUCUCAAGCUCCCAGGCUCAAAUGAUCCUCCUGCCUCGGCCUCCCAAAGUGCUGGGAUUACAGGCAUGAGCCACCUUGUCUGGCCCACUUUUCUUUUUAUAGGACUUUAUUAGAUGAGGUGAAGAACAGGUAAUUUGGGUUGAUAAUUUGAGAAUAAAAUGAUUUAUUUUACCAAUUUUUUCUACUUCUCAAUUUUAAAAUAAAAUGAUCCCUUAUUUUGCUAAAGAAAAGAAAUGUGAAGCUAUAUCUGUAAUAGAAAUAUGUAAAAAAAAUUGACAUUCAUGUUUUCACUAUUUACAAAGCUUAGCCACAUGCCCAUUUUAUUUGAUUACUUGUGAGGUGACACAUAUGAGGCAGCUGAGAGUAAGUGAGGACCAUGUGGUAAAAUGAUUGUUGAAGGCAUUCAGCCUGCUGGACUCCUUUACCCACUCCCCACCUGUGCCAGUUCCCAUGUGGAAAUGUGAGUAAGUCUGAGAGAAAGAAACGGGCAACAUUUUAAAUAUCUAUAGAGUACAUAAUUGAUGGAAUGACCCCAAGAUCUACCACCGGAGACAUCCGAAAAGCUUCAAAAGUUGUUCAGGGAAAUUUGAGAAUGACACUUCAUAAAUUUUUAAUAAUAAAAAAUUAUCCACUGAUGGAAACCUCACUAAUUUUUGAGGCAAUCAUGAUGGAACGACAUAGAGACCUCCAGGCCGUAGUCACUGAAUAUAAUAUAAACAGAAUAGCGUCCUUAGUGAACACAACAGCAUAGAUAACAAAAAGAGUAGGUUGGGGCUCUGGUUUCCUGAAGGAGGAACAGCUAUAAUUUUUAAUUGUCUUAAUACUGAAAGGGCCCUUAGGAAAUCUCUACAGUUUCUCUGCAAAUCGCUUUAUCUCUUUUCCUUCAAUUUACUGUUUUUCAGCUCCAGAGAACAUCCCUCACUCAUGCACUCACCCACAAUGUCUUCACCUCCACAGGGGCUCAUCACGGUGGUCAGAGCGAGGGCCCCCAGCAGCAGAGCUUUGUUUAGGAUCAUCCUCUUCCCAAGGCAGCCUCAGCAGUUGGUGUUCUGAGCUGUAGAGUAAUUGUGAGGACCUCAAGACAAGGAAAUCUGAAGACACCCAAACCAAACCCUGCCAAGUCAGGUUUUGGCCAAUUAGAAAAAUCCCCUAUGGUGACAUCUCAGUUACUAGUUGAAGAGUUUGUAUUAAGAGCCCUGGAAGGAGACGGGGCAAUCCCCUUGUGAUGCAGCCUCUACUCAGAGUGGACUUGAGGAAUUGUUCUAUGAAUAAAGGGAGGACAUUAAA